RNAcentral lists this ribosomal RNA (309 nucleotides) under uncultured bacterium. Its description in RNAcentral is "bacterial SSU rRNA". It matches the Rfam family "Bacterial small subunit ribosomal RNA", at positions 354 to 661 of the family's 1533-position model. The record is from RNAcentral.
UGAGGGAAUAUUGGACAAUGGAGGCAACUCUGAUCCAGCCAUGCCGCGUGAAGGACUAAGGCCCUAUGGGCUGUAAACUUCUUUAGACGCAGAGCAAUAAGGGCCACGCGUGGUCCGAUGAGAGUAUGCGUAGAAUAAGCAUCGGCUAACUCCGUGCCAGCAGCCGCGGUAAUACGGAGGAUGCGAGCGUUAUCCGGAUUUAUUGGGUUUAAAGGGUGCGCAGGCGGCGCGAAAAGUCAGCGGUCAAAGUUCCGGGCUCAACCCGGUGACGCCGUUGAAACUUUCGGGCUGGAGUCCGUGCGAGGGAGG